RNAcentral lists this long non-coding RNA (263 nucleotides) under Brassica napus (rape). Its description in RNAcentral is "long non-coding RNA (BNAP_LNC024719)". The record is from RNAcentral. Lineage: Eukaryota; Viridiplantae; Streptophyta; Magnoliopsida; Brassicales; Brassicaceae.
UUUUUUUUUUUUUUUUUUUUUGUAAAUGAAGAAAAUGGUAGUUGAGAAAGAUGGAAUGAAAAGAGAUACCGGAAGAGUGGCUCUGAUACCACUUUGAUACGCCUUAAAAGGAUCACUCGACCGGAUUUGGAAAAGAUAUGAACUCCAAGAGGAGAUCUGAUGGAAUGAGGGGUCGCACAAAGGUUGCGGAGUGGCCUUUGAUAUUCUCGAACCAGAUUGUUGCCGGAUGUGACUCACCGGUCCAACAAAGAGGCAAUCUUGAA